AGCAGCCGCGGUAAUUCCAGCUCCAAUAGCGUAUAUUAAAGUUGUUGCAGUUAAAAAGCUCGUAGUUGAAUUUCGGGAUCAAUAUGUUGGUCGUGCCUCGGUACGUACUAGCUUAUUGGUUUCUCCUUUCUGAAGAACCAUGAUGUCAUUUAUUUGGUGUCGUGGGGAAUCAGGACUGUUACUUUAGAAAAAAUUAGAGUGUUUAAAGCAGGCUCACGCUUGAAUACAUUAGCAUGGAAUAAUGAAAUAGGACGUUUGAUUCUAUUUUGUUGGUUUCUAGGAUCGACGUAAUGAUUAAUAGGGAUAGUUGGGGGCAUUAGUAUUCAAUUGUCAGAGGUGAAAUUCUUGGAUUUAUUGAAGACUAACUACUGCGAAAGCAUUUGCCAAGGAUGUUUUCAUUAAUCAAGAACGAAAGUUAGGGGAUCGAAGACGAUCAGAUACCGUCGUAGUCUUAACCAUAAACUAUGCCGACUAGGGAUCGGAUGAAUGUUGUAUUUUUUAAUGUA
RNAcentral lists this unclassified non-coding RNA (506 nucleotides) under uncultured Glomus. RNAcentral's name for it is "SSU rRNA". It matches the Rfam family "Eukaryotic small subunit ribosomal RNA", at positions 569 to 1078 of the family's 1831-position model. The record is from RNAcentral. Lineage: Eukaryota; Fungi; Glomeromycota; Glomeromycetes; Glomerales; Glomeraceae.